GACGAACGCUGGCGGCGUGCUUAACACAUGCAAGUCGAACGGAAAGGCCCUUCGGGGUACUCGAGUGGCGAACGGGUGAGUAACACGUGGGUGAUCUGCCCUGCACUUUGGGAUAAGCCUGGGAAACUGGGUCUAUACCGAAUAGGACCGCGCGCUUCAUGGUGUGUGGUGGAAAGCUUUUGCGGUGUGGGAUGGGCCCGCGGCCUAUCAGCUUGUUGGUGGGGUAAUGGCCUACCAAGGCGACGACGGGUAGCCGGCCUGAGAGGGUGACCGGCCACACUGGGACUGAGAUACGGCCCAGACUCCUACGGGAGGCAGCAGUGGGGAAUAUUGCACAAUGGGCGCAAGCCUGAUGCAGCGACGCCGCGUGAGGGAUGACGGCCUUCGGGUUGUAAACCUCUUUCACCAGGGACGAAGCGCAAGUGACGGUACCUGGAGAAGAAGCACCGGCCAACUACGUG
RNAcentral lists this ribosomal RNA (461 nucleotides) under uncultured bacterium. RNAcentral describes it as "partial 16S ribosomal RNA". It matches the Rfam family "Bacterial small subunit ribosomal RNA", at positions 28 to 507 of the family's 1533-position model. The record is from RNAcentral.